Molecule: ribosomal RNA, 460 nt
Filed under: uncultured bacterium
Lineage: Bacteria
Description: partial 16S ribosomal RNA
Rfam family: Bacterial small subunit ribosomal RNA
Source: RNAcentral
CCUACGGGAGGCAGCAGUGAGGAAUAUUGGUCAAUGGACGAGAGUCUGAACCAGCCAAGUAGCGUGAAGGAUGACUGCCCUAUGGGUUGUAAACUUCUUUUAUAAAGGAAUAAAACGAGGCACGUGUGCCUUUUUGCAUGUACUUUAUGAAUAAGGAUCGGCUAACUCCGUGCCAGCAGCCGCGGUAAUACGGAGGAUCCGAGCGUUAUCCGGAUUUAUUGGGUUUAAAGGGAGCGUAGGUGGGUUGUUAAGUCAGUUGUGAAAGUUUGCGGCUCAACCGUAAAAUUGCAAUUGAUACUGGCAGUCGUGAGUACAGUUGAGGUAGGCGGAAUUCGUGGUGUAGCGGUGAAAUGCUUAGAUAUCACGAAGAACUCCGAUUGCGAAGGCAGCUUACUAAACUGUGACUGACAUUGAUGCUCGAAAGUGUGGGUAUCAAACAGGAUUAGAUACCCUAGUAGUC